AUUUCCUGUCUAGUUCGCACAGGUGUGUUAGUAAGAGUAUCCACAAGUUUAGUUCAUUUUAACUGUCGAUAUAUUCUAAGUUUGACAUCUAGAAAGUGUCGAAAUACAAUUACAGAGAGAAAAGGCGAAAGGGAACUGGAUUCGUAACUCGCGCACAGCCGCCCACACGUGAAGCGCGCGGACACCGAACUCGAUCCUCUUUUAAAUCCUUUGAACAGACACAAAAUUAUGACAAAAUACCCAUCUCGACAAUCAUUCAGUCGCUGAAAAAUGACGCAACCGAACCGAGGAGUAUAUAAGAGCCCGUCCCCCGCAUGACGUCCUCUUGGAGUCGUUGCUAUCGCUUGACGAG
RNAcentral lists this long non-coding RNA (352 nucleotides) under Sinocyclocheilus anshuiensis. Its description in RNAcentral is "lncRNA (ENSSANG00000040295.1)". Lineage: Eukaryota; Metazoa; Chordata; Actinopteri; Cypriniformes; Cyprinidae. The record is from RNAcentral.